This 113-nucleotide Y RNA is filed under the name Prolemur simus (greater bamboo lemur). RNAcentral describes it as "Y RNA (ENSPSMG00000018095.1)". It matches the Rfam family "Y RNA". From Rfam's summary of the family: Y RNAs are components of the Ro ribonucleoprotein particle (Ro RNP), in association with Ro60 and La proteins. The Y RNAs and Ro60 and La proteins are well conserved, but the function of the Ro RNP is not known. Lineage: Eukaryota; Metazoa; Chordata; Mammalia; Primates; Lemuridae. The record is from Rfam by way of RNAcentral.
AGCUGGUCCAAAGGUAGUGAGUUAUUUCAUUUAAUUGUUCACAGUCAGUUACAGAUUGAACUCCUUGUGCUACUACUUCUCCCCUUCUCACUACUGCACUUGACUAGUCUUAA